RNAcentral lists this ribosomal RNA (253 nucleotides) under uncultured bacterium. Its description in RNAcentral is "partial 16S ribosomal RNA". It matches the Rfam family "Bacterial small subunit ribosomal RNA", at positions 524 to 776 of the family's 1533-position model. The record is from RNAcentral.
AACGUAGGAGCCAAGCGUUAUCCGAAUUCACUGGGCGUAAAGCGCGUGCAGGCGGCUGGGUAAGUUGGAUGUGAAAUCUCCUGGCUCAACUGGGAGAGGCCGUUCAAUACUACCUGGCUUGAGGGCGACAGAGGGAGGUGGAAUUCCGGGUGUAGUGGUGAAAUUCGUAGAUAUCGAGAGGAACACCGGUGGCGAAGGCGGCCAACUGGACGAAUACUGACGCUGAGACUCGAAAGCGUGGGGAGCAAACAGG